RNAcentral lists this ribosomal RNA (433 nucleotides) under uncultured bacterium. RNAcentral describes it as "partial 16S ribosomal RNA". It matches the Rfam family "Bacterial small subunit ribosomal RNA", at positions 29 to 507 of the family's 1533-position model. The record is from RNAcentral.
AACGAACGCUGGCGGCAUGCCUAACACAUGCAAGUCGAACGAGAACUUCGGGCCUAGCGGCGCACGGGUGAGUAACGCGUGGGAACCUGCCCUUAGGUUCGGAAUAACUCUCCGAAAGGGGUGGUAAUACCGGAUAAUGCCUUUGGACCAAAGAUUUAUCGGCUGAGGAUGGGCCCGCGUUGGAUUAGCUAGUUGGUAGGGUAAAAGCCUACCAAGGCGACGAUCCAUAGCUGGUCUGAGAGGAUGAUCAGCCACACUGGGACUGAGACACGGCCCAGACUCCUACGGGAGGCAGCAGUGGGGAAUAUUAGACAAUGGGCGAAAGCCUGAUCCAGCAAUGCCGCGUGAGUGAUGAAGGCCUUAGGGUUGUAAAGCUCUUUUACCCGGGAUGAUAAUGACAGUACCGGGAGAAGAAGCUCCGGCUAACUCCGUG